AGAGCCAGGAGCCCCAGUGCCCUUUCCUCCUCCCACCGCCCACCAAAACAUGGGGUCCAAGAUCUUCUGUUGUUGCCGCAAGACCAGCGAGGGGUCGUCUACCACUGCUGGCUUCCACAAUCCAAGAAUGUUCCAACAGCAUCAUCCACGGUCCUUUAAUCUGAACACAAAUUCUCUCCACAGUGCUGCACCAAACAGACAUCCACGCCUCCCCCAUGACAAACGCGUGAUGCUCAAGGCGUGCACCCUCAGGAGGCCAUGAGCAUUCUAGUCGGCGGCACCCACGUGGUCCCUGAGGCUGCACGGCUGCUGCGCUUCCAUGAGGAAGAGGGUGGUGGACAGGAGUCAUGAAGACUGAUUCAGAAACUCCCCUGCAGGAGGAGAAGACGUCUGACCAUCCCUGUGCCACCACCAAGAGUCACUCCAGCUUCUGAAAAAGCCACCAUUGGGGGAGCUGCCUCCAAUUAAAGUCCUUGGUCACAUCA
Molecule: long non-coding RNA, 485 nt
Organism: Mandrillus leucophaeus (drill)
Lineage: Eukaryota; Metazoa; Chordata; Mammalia; Primates; Cercopithecidae
Exons: 2
Source: RefSeq, a predicted model, not a curated record